RNAcentral lists this ribosomal RNA (234 nucleotides) under uncultured bacterium. RNAcentral's name for it is "partial 16S ribosomal RNA". It matches the Rfam family "Bacterial small subunit ribosomal RNA", at positions 32 to 245 of the family's 1533-position model. The record is from RNAcentral.
AAUCAACGCUGGCGGCGUGCCUCAGACAUGCAAGUCGAACGAGAAAGUUUCCUUCGGGGAAUGAGUAAAGUGGCGCACGGGUGAGUAACACGUAGGUAAUCUACCUUCGGGUGGGGAAUAACCCAGGGAAACUUGGGCUAACACCGCAUAAUGCAGCGGCACCACAUGGUGACAGUUGUUAAAGCGGGGGAUUUUAGUACCUCGCGCCUGAAGAGGAGCCUGCGGCGGAUUAGC